AGAGUUUGAUCCUGGCUCAGGAUGAACGCUGGCGGCGUGCCUAACACAUGCAAGUCGAGCGAAGCAAUUAAGAGGAAGUUUUCGGAUGGAAUGUUAAUUGACUGAGCGGCGGACGGGUGAGUAACGCGUGGGUAACCUGCCUCAUACAGGGGGAUAACAGUUAGAAAUGACUGCUAAUACCGCAUAAGCACACAGAACCGCAUGGUUCGGGGUGAAAAGCCGAGACGGUAUGAGAUGGACCCGCGUCUGAUUAGCUAGUUGGAGGGGUAACGGCCCACCAAGGCAACGAUCAGUAGCCGACCUGAGAGGGUGGCCGGCCACAUUGGGACUGAGACACGGCCCAAACUCCUACGGGAGGCAGCAGUGGGGGAUAUUGCACAAUGGGGGAAACCCUGAUGCAGCGACGCCGCGUGAGUGAAGAAGUAUUUCGGUAUGUAAAGCUCUAUCAGCAGGGAAGAAAAAAGACGGUACCUGACUAAGAAGCCCCGGCUAACUACGUGCCAGCAGCCGCGGUAAUACGUAGGGGGCAAGCGUUAUCCGGAUUUACUGGGUGUAAAGGGAGCGUAGACGGCAAUACAAGUCGGAAGUGAAAUACCCGGGCUCAACCUGGGAACUGCUUUGGAAACUGUAUGGCUGGAGUGCUGGAGAGGUAAGCGGAAUUCCUAGUGUAGCGGUGAAAUGCGUAGAUAUUAGGAGAAACACCAGUGGCGAAGGCGGCUUACUGGACAGUAACUGACGUUGAGGCUCGAAAGCGUGGGGAGCAAACAGGAUUAGAUACCCUGGUAGUCCACGCCGUAAACGAUGAAUGCUAGGGGUUGGGGAGCAAAAGCUUCUGCGGUGCCGCCGCAAAACGCAGUAAGCAUUCCACUUGGGGGAGUACGUUCACAAGAAUAAAACUCAAAAGGAAUUGACGGGGACCCGCACAAGCGGUGGAGCAUGUGGUUUAAUUAGAAGCAACGCGAAGAACCUUACCAAGUCUUGACAUCCCGGUGACGCAUACAGAAAUGUAUGUUCUCUUCGGAGCACUGGAGACAGGUGGUGCAUGGUUGUCGUCAGCUCGUGUCGUGAGAUGUUGGGUUAAGUCCCGCAACGAGCGCAACCCUUAUUCUUAGUAGCCAGCGAGUAAGGUCGGGCACUCUAAGGAGACUGCCAGGGAUAACCUGGAGGAAGGUGGGGAUGACGUCAAAUCAUCAUGCCCCUUAUGAUUUGGGCUACACACGUGCUACAAUGGCGUAAACAAAGGGAAGCGAAGUGGUGACAUGGAGCGAACCCCAAAAAUAACGUCUCAGUUCGGAUUGCAGGCUGCAACCCGCCUGCAUGAAGCCGGAAUCGCUAGUAAUCGCAGAUCAGAAUGCUGCGGUGAAUACGUUCCCGGGUCUUGCACUCACCGCCCGUCA
RNAcentral lists this ribosomal RNA (1397 nucleotides) under uncultured bacterium. RNAcentral describes it as "bacterial SSU rRNA". It matches the Rfam family "Bacterial small subunit ribosomal RNA". The record is from RNAcentral.